UUAUAACCUACUGGUACUGCUGAAACUGUAUAUCUCUAUAGAGUUAUGUGCCUGCAAGUGUCCCUUGUUGGCCUCCAGCUGAGGUAGUCGUUGAGCACACCUCCUUGUUGUCUGCGGUGAAGUUGUUUCCGUUGUCACGCUCAACGUUGUCCCACUGUGGGCUUCCAUGUGGACAAAGGCAGCGAGCGGCAGGUGUUUGGCCUUACAUUCCGGAAGGUGCUGGCCAGAGCAGUGCCAGCGCUGGGACCGGACAGUGAUCACUGCAUCUUGGCAGCACGGAUUCCUUUCCUCCCGCACGUAACGCUGGCAGCUCCGAUGUUCACAAUCUUUGUCUACGGUGUCGCUUUGGUUGCUUCUGUCUACCAGAAAGUGUCUGCAGGACAGGAAAGUCUCCGUCAGUGCCUGUGUACCUCCUGGUGCUGUCAUCUAUGCUUGCAGGGUUCCCUUGCCCGAAAAGGAAAGCAUAGAAUUAAAAGAAACAAAGACAAUAAUGAAAUAUAGAAAAUAACACUUUUA
RNAcentral lists this long non-coding RNA (516 nucleotides) under Lepisosteus oculatus (spotted gar). RNAcentral's name for it is "lncRNA (ENSLOCG00000021468.1)". The record is from RNAcentral. Lineage: Eukaryota; Metazoa; Chordata; Actinopteri; Semionotiformes; Lepisosteidae.